Phacochoerus africanus (Common warthog) is the source of this 2192-nucleotide long non-coding RNA. RefSeq lists it as uncharacterized. Lineage: Eukaryota; Metazoa; Chordata; Mammalia; Artiodactyla; Suidae. The record is from RefSeq and is a predicted model, not a curated record. The transcript has 3 exons.
UGGAAACUCUCCCUGGUCUACAGCAAGGGCCCAAAUAAAGGUAAACAAACACCUCUGUAGGACGCCUGCAGCCAGACGUGCUGUGGGGAGUCAGGCAGACAUGUGGACAUGCUCCUCAGUUAUGUCUAAAGUCGAAGGAAGGGCCCCUUGCACUGUACGCGUUCUUGGGGGCACUUGGCACUGGCAGGGUUGCACACUUGCACUCGGAAGCGGGUUAGUAACAAAUCUAGAGUACUUGUUGCAUUUGCAAGGGACAGGCUGGGUUUCCUGCAGCGGGCUGAGCACAGUGAGUGCUCUGCAGAUACAGCCCUAGCUCCCACUACAGUGAGCCCCAGGGGGCCCAGAGGGCUCCGCAUGAAAAAUCUAGAGCAGGCAGCCCUCUAGCUAAUCACUUCGUCUGAAUCCCUAGCCCAACUCGAGGACUUUGGGGGCAAAUGGAACAGAACCAGAGUCUCAACCAUUAGUUACCGAUUUUCUGGAGGGGAGAGUCAUGCUCAGAGCCCCCACCCCAAGUUGGCACCCCUCUACUUUAGGGCCACAACCUGGCCAUGUGCACUGAGCAGGUCUCAACCCCCAAGCCCUCACCCCCACCUGGGGGUGGGGCAGGAAUACCAGUAGCGGGCACCUAACCUCAAAUGAGUAUGCCUUGUACCUGCCACAGACACACUAUAACCAGCGCCAGGCUCCUGGAAGGGGACCCGACCUGGCCACUGGUCCCAGCUCUAUAUCAGACAAGGGCAGCCCCUCUGAUCCCAGCGCAGAGUUUGCUUCAUCCACAGCACUCAAGACAUAGUGCCUCCCCUGAGGGGCAGGGGCAGCCUCCGUGAUACCGGCUGUACUUUCUGGAGUGGACGGGGACCGGGAAGAACUGCAUGGUCAGUGUCCAGACCAGAACAGGUGCUUUGGCAAAGCCCAGGCACACCCUCGGAGAGGUGAGUGGAUGGGACUGCUCCCAGUCAUGGCCCUUUACCUCCCUAUAGCCUCUCUCUCUCUUCCUUUCCCCCUUUCAGAUAUGAAGCCUCCUGUGAUCUUGGUGACAGUAGCGGGAGGAGGAAAUAGGGUCCAAACUGGUGGCGGAGGAUGAGGAGGCUGCGGCCAGGAGUCCAGGAAGCAGCAGCAACUGGAGCUGAAGGAGGGGCCGAAGCCUGGGGACAGGCAGUGCGCCUCUGCCGCAUCACAUUCACUGCUUUGCGGCUGUGGGUGGAGAGCCUUUUACACUGCACUGGAUACUCCCAUGUGUUCCCCUGGUACACGGCUUGCCCUAUAUAUAUAUGUAGGUGCCUAGUUCUCCAGGGGGCUAGCUUGUCUCCGCCUUUGACUCUCUUCUGGAGCCCCUUCUCCCCUUUUCAGAGCCAAAAGCCACCUAGAGGGCCCAAGGCCACCAGGGGCUCUUCCCCCAGGACUCUGGGAUGUGGGCACCACCUACUGGGCAUCAAGAAAGGAGUUUGCAAGACGCAUGGGAGUGACUGAAGCCAGAGUGCAGGAGGCUGAGUCCCGGCUCGUUGCUCCCGGAGCAGCAGCAGCGAGAGCAACAGACGCGCUUGGCAGACGAGGAGGCAGAAGCGGAGAGGGCGCCCUCGCGAACCGCACCGCGAGCCGGAGCCGUAGGACUGGUUUCGGGAGCCUCGGCUCAGGCCACCCCAGUCCGGGCCGAGAGCAAGAAUGCGAGCGAGAACGGCGGCCCCGCGGGCUCGGGGCUCUUGGACCAACUGCGAUGCUUCCCACUGUGGGCUGCGCGAGCCAGACACCUGAGCCAUUGCUGCGGGAAAAGAGGGAGCCAUAUCACUAGCCCAGGAAGAUCUCGGACCUUUCGUUCCCAGAACCCGCCACUGCGCAAAACUGCGAAAACUGUGGAAAUCGUUCCUGGUACGUCGUUAAAAUCCUUCCCCAGUCCUACGUGGCCUCCAGCCGGCGUGAAAAGCCGUGCGUGCAUCCAAGUAAAUAAGCCGCCGCUGCAAUCGGUUCCGCGCAUCCUUCCGGUUCCGCGGGAGGCUCGCCGGGUCUAAAUUGGAUCAGAGACCGUGUCUUUCUCAACCUCGUACUUGAAAUGACUGAAAGGAAGGAUGACAGACUACAGGAUACAUUUCAGAGUGGCCGUUUCACCAACACAGUCAAUUCUGCUUGUGUUUCAGGUGCUUUCUGUGCGUGUGUCUGUUACAUAUUCAAUACUAUUGGAUGCUUACUGUGCCUCA